RNAcentral lists this ribosomal RNA (750 nucleotides) under Triticum aestivum (bread wheat). RNAcentral's name for it is "partial small subunit ribosomal RNA". Lineage: Eukaryota; Viridiplantae; Streptophyta; Magnoliopsida; Poales; Poaceae. The record is from RNAcentral.
AUGGCCGCGGAGUCUGCCUGGUGCUGGCCGUGGCUCAGCUCCGGCACGGCGUGGUUCCUCUUCUUCAACGUCUUCGUCGGCGCCGUGGCCGUCCUGUCCUGGCGGCAGGGCAGCGACCCGGAGAUGUCGAGGCGGAGGAGGCUCACCCGGAGCGCGUCGUCCAUGGUCAUGGAGCGCCUCCGCUCCAUGUCCGUCUUCGCCGCCUUCCACUCCGUGCCCGAGCACGACUACGGCAGCGGCCUCACACCGCCGGCGUGGGAAGAGUACUACACGUCGCCGGAAGAGGGAGGAGAGGAGACCGGGCACGCGGUGAAGCAGCCGGAGCCGGCCCUACCGGCGGUGACCGUCGCUCCAUCGACACCGAGCGCUCCUGAUGCAGCUGCAGCUACACAGGCUUCGAUGUCAGGGAGCGACGACAGGGCAAAAGCAGGGACGCGGACGGAGAUGUCUGGAUGCUUGGGAGAUGCGUGCGCGGUAGUAGUGGCCCGGCAGCGAGACGCGCCGGAGCCGGAGCCAACGCCAGUGGCGGCCACCGCCAAGGGUGCUACGACGGAGAGGCCGAGGAAGCGGGGGCCGGCGAAGGUGGCGGCGAUCGUCCAGCGGCGCGCGCACGCGGAGCUGGAAGAGAAGGCGGAGGUGAACGCGCAAGCCGAGCGCUUCAUCCGGCAGUUCCGGGAGGAGCUCAAGCUGGAGCGCAUCAAGUCCAUCCUCAACCACGCCCGCGCCGGCGCCGCCACAUCGGCACGGUAG